Molecule: long non-coding RNA, 524 nt
Filed under: Mus musculus (house mouse)
Lineage: Eukaryota; Metazoa; Chordata; Mammalia; Rodentia; Muridae
Description: predicted gene 6812 (Gm6812)
Source: RNAcentral
AGAGGGUCUGAAGGUCCUGGCUAAAUUCCAGUAAAACACCGAAAUGGGGUUAAUAAAUACAAAGUUACAAGAAUUUCACAUGGCUGAAUCAAAAAGUGCCACCACCCAAGCUGUGAAGAAGAAUGAGAAGUUCAAAUAUAAAGUCAAGGAAACUAAGAAACCAGUGUUUAUGAACAUAUUCAAUCAAGCCACUGUGAAAAAGCCACUCCCCCCAAGAGCUCAGACUCCCUUGGUUAAGGUGAAGAAAGAAAUAAAACCACAAAGAUUAUGCCUUUACCAUCGCGUAAAUGAGAAGCCUAACCAGGAUGUACAGUAUGAUCUUGACAAGAGCGAGGACAGCAGUACCAGCAGCACCACAAGCUAUGAGCUGGACAGCCAGUGAAGAAGGAUGGAGGACAGAGACCUCAGAAACACCUAUCAGCAUCCAGAGGUCUCCACCCUGACCAGUAUGCAACUGUGAAGACAGCAACUUUGCAGCCCCUGGUGGUCAGAUGAUGAAAUAAAAUCAAGCUCUUAGGAGUGAA